RNAcentral lists this non-coding RNA (164 nucleotides) under uncultured Schaedlerella sp. RNAcentral's name for it is "Lysine riboswitch". It matches the Rfam family "Lysine riboswitch aptamer". Rfam says of the family: Riboswitches are metabolite binding domains within certain messenger RNAs that serve as precision sensors for their corresponding targets. Allosteric rearrangement of mRNA structure is mediated by ligand binding, and this results in modulation of gene expression. Lineage: Bacteria; Bacillati; Bacillota; Clostridia; Lachnospirales; Lachnospiraceae. The record is from RNAcentral.
UAGAUAGAGGUUGCGCUCUUUAAGAGUAAAAUGCCGGAUGUUCAGGGCAGAAGAAAGUAUUUGAAAGGAAAGAGUGCCGAAAGGAUAUGAUGCCUGAGGUCGUAUUGCUUGGGCAUGGCGUGAAGAACGUCAUGACUGUCAUCGUAAGAUGGAGUGCUAUCUGA